UUAGAGUUUGAUCAUGGCUCAGGAUGAACGCUAGCGGGAGGCCUAACACAUGCAAGUCGAGCGGGAUUGGUAGCAAUACCAUGAGAGCGGCGCACGGGUGAGUAACGCGUAUGCAACCUACCUUUAACAGGGGGAUAGCCCAGGGAAACUUGGAUUAAUACCCCAUAAGAUUACAGAUCCGCAUGGAUUAGUAAUUAAAGCUCCGGCGGUUAAAGAUGGGCAUGCGUGACAUUAGUUAGUUGGUGAGGUAACGGCUCACCAAGACUACGAUGUCUAGGGGUUCUGAGAGGAUGAUCCCCCACACUGGUACUGAGACACGGACCAGACUCCUACGGGAGGCAGCAGUGAGGAAUAUUGGUCAAUGGGCGCAAGCCUGAACCAGCCAUCCCGCGUGAAGGAUGACAGCCCUAUGGGUUGUAAACUUCUUUUCUGUACCAAGAAACAAUCCCUCGAGAGGGGUCUUGACGGUAGUACAGGAAUAAGGACCGGCUAACUCCGUGCCAGCAGCCGCGGUAAUACGGAGGGUCCAAGCGUUAUCCGGAUUUAUUGGGUUUAAAGGGUGCGUAGGCGGAUUUGUAAGUCAGUGGUGAAAUCCUGCAGCUUAACUGUAGAACUGCCAUUGAUACUGCUAAUCUUGAGUAUAGUUGAGGUAGGCGGAAUGAGUAGUGUAGCGGUGAAAUGCUUAGAUAUUACUCAGAACACCGAUUGCGAAGGCAGCUUGCCAAACUAUGACUGACGCUGAUGCACGAAAGCGUGGGGAUCGAACAGGAUUAGAUACCCUGGUAGUCCACGCCGUAAACGAUGCUCACUCGCUGUUUGCGAUACACAGUAAGCGGCCAAGCGAAAGUUUUAAGUGAGCCACCUGGGGAGUACGAUCGCAAGGUUGAAACUCAAAGGAAUUGACGGGGGCCCGCACAAGCGGAGGAACAUGUGGUUUAAUUCGAUGAUACGCGAGGAACCUUACCUGGGCUUAAAUGUAGAUUGCAUGAUGUAGAAAUACACUUCCCUUCGGGGCUAUUUACAAGGUGCUGCAUGGUUGUCGUCAGCUCGUGCCGUGAGGUGUCGGGUUAAGUCCCAUAACGAGCGCAACCCUUAUCGUUAGUUGCCAGCGGGUCAUGCCGGGGACUCUAGCGAGACUGCCACCGUAAGGUGAGAGGAAGGUGGGGA
RNAcentral lists this ribosomal RNA (1167 nucleotides) under uncultured bacterium. Its description in RNAcentral is "bacterial SSU rRNA". It matches the Rfam family "Bacterial small subunit ribosomal RNA", at positions 1 to 1179 of the family's 1533-position model. The record is from RNAcentral.